Molecule: long non-coding RNA, 690 nt
Organism: Aphis gossypii (cotton aphid)
Lineage: Eukaryota; Metazoa; Arthropoda; Insecta; Hemiptera; Aphididae
Exons: 2
Source: RefSeq, a predicted model, not a curated record
UGGAAUUCGGAAUAACUAAACAGUAAACGGUUUCACGUUUAAUAUCUAAUAUCUAUUGUUUAUUGAACAUUGAUUACAAAACACGAAUAACAUAAUAACAAAUACCUAAUAGGUAGUUUAUAUUUUACAAACGCUUUGAAUGCCUUAAAAUAAUAUAAUUUCCACUUCCACGUUUUUAUAACUAUAGAAAAGAUUGACUGAUAAUGAUUAAUGGCAUUCACUUGUAAAAUAUAUUGAAUAUUAAUGAUUGUUCGUCGUAUUCUCGUAUGCUGAGAAAUAAGUAAUAACGAUAUUUAUAGUGAUUACUCUUUUAUUGAAUGUUCGGCUAACGUGUUGGAGGCCGGACUCAUUGGAGUACAGAUCUGUCAGAUCUAAGUAUUCUAAAUCCAACAUGAUAUUUUUUGACAAAUUAUAUAAUAUACAAUUUAUUGAUAUUUAAUAUUUAUGCAUUGUUUAGAGAAAGAAAAUUCUGGUCAAAGUCAAAAUUCACAAAUACACCAUUUAACAAUAAACAACAAAUUUUAAUCAUGUCGCACAUAAUACUACAUAUUAAAUGAUUUGUAAUUUGUAUGGACAUAAUAUAAUAAUAUAAAAUAUAAUUUAGAUUAUUGAUAAGUUACAAAUAAAUCUGUACAGGUAAAAUUCUACUUUUUGAUAAGUGAUAAAUAUAUGUAAUUUUUACAGUUAUAA